This is a long non-coding RNA of Oncorhynchus gorbuscha (pink salmon), 667 nucleotides long. RefSeq lists it as uncharacterized. The record is from RefSeq and is a predicted model, not a curated record. Lineage: Eukaryota; Metazoa; Chordata; Actinopteri; Salmoniformes; Salmonidae. The transcript has 3 exons.
GUAGCUUGGUGAGUUGGGGAAAUUAUUGGAUAGAGAUUGAAAAGUGAUAGUUGAGCUUUUUUGUUGUUGAUAUUAUUCAAUUCAAAUUACAGGAGGCGGAGGAGGUAGAUUAUACAUGUUUUUAGAACUUCAUUUUUUGUGUCCAGUUAGCAAGGCAAAUUUAAAUAAAUUGAACUAACUUCAGUAGCAAGUAGAAGUAGCUAGUUAGCUGGUUACCAGCUUGAGUGUGCCGUUUUCGCAGCCAACGCUACCACAAAUUUGGUUUACUUUUUGUUGAAGAACCACUUUUAUUCUGGGGUACACCGGGAAGGUGUGAAUUAAAACCGAGGGUCAACCUCUGCCUGAGAUCAGUUUCAUGAAGCUAAGUCCCCUCCUGUUCCCUGAUUAAGAGGUGAUGACCACUCCACUCGACUACCAUUGUCAACUCUUUCCUGACAUGAACUGAAGCCAUGUCUCAUGUGCCCUUUCAUCCACUGGCACAUAGAAUGUUUCCUCUCCAAUCACUUCAAAUCCUGUCCUGCACUGAAGUCAAGCCUCGGAACACCUCUACCCAUGCCUCAUACCCUCAUUCAGCCACUACUGUGAUCCCUUCCCAAAACUGGAUAAGUUGCCUUCUCAUUCCCAUUCGCCAUAACAUUGUACUAUACAAGUCUUUAUUAAAUGCUUA